CACGUAGGGGGCGAGCGUUGUCCGGAUUUAUUGGGCGUAAAGAGCUCGUAGGCGGCUCAGUAAGUCAGGUGUGAAAACUCCAGGCUCAACCUGGAGACGCCACCUGAUACUGCUGUGGCUAGAGUCCGGUAGGGGAGCAUGGAAUUCCUGGUGUAGCGGUGAAAUGCGCAGAUAUCAGGAGGAACACCAGUGGCGAAGGCGGUGCUCUGGGCCGGUACUGACGCUGAGGAGCGAAAGCGUGGGGAGCAAACAGG
This 254-nucleotide ribosomal RNA is filed under the name uncultured bacterium. Its description in RNAcentral is "partial 16S ribosomal RNA". It matches the Rfam family "Bacterial small subunit ribosomal RNA", at positions 524 to 776 of the family's 1533-position model. The record is from RNAcentral.